UAUAUAUAUAUAUUUUAGAUAGGAUCUCACUCUGUCACCCAGACUGGAGUGCAGUGGCGCGAUUACAGCUCACUACAGCCCCAGGCUCAAGUGAUCCCCCCAUCUCAGCCUCCCAAGUAGCUGGGACUACAAGCACAACCAACCCAGUGUAAUUUUCCUAUUUUUUGUAGAGAUGGAGUUUUGCCAUGUUGCCCAGGCUGGUGUCGAACUUCUGAGCUCCAGCAAUCUGCCUGCCUCGGCCUCCCAAAUUGCUGGGAUUACAGGUCUGAGCCAUCAUGUGUUAUGUAUUUUUUACAAAUAUCUUCAGUCGGGCGUGGUGGCUUGCUUUCCUUGUUAACUGGAACAAAAUUAUCCUCACAUAGUAACAUGACAAAUAUGUAAAUGUAUGAACUGCAUUCCCCAUUCACCUGAGGAAAGUGCCUCCAGAGCCUGGAGAUUAUCUAAAUGCUAACAUUAUGAACUCUUGGGUUUGAGACGAGCCUGGGCAACACAGCGAGACCUCGUCUCUAUUUAAAAAAAAAAAAAAGAAAGUAAAAAUAAAAUAAAAAUAAAGAUCUUCUUAAAUGACUUUAUAAUAUUGAUCAUAAACUACAAUAAAAGUUUUGGUCAGAAAUCUCUCCUCAUAAACCAAAAUAUUUACUCAGAAUAUCCAAGGGCAGAAUUACCGGAUCAAAGAACAUGGCCAUCUUUAGGAUUCCUGAUAAUUCCCCCAUCAAACUGCUUCUCAAAAGGUUUGUAACAAUUUAUAUACACACCAGUGACAUAU
This 766-nucleotide long non-coding RNA is filed under the name Homo sapiens (human). Its description in RNAcentral is "HSALNT0064010". Lineage: Eukaryota; Metazoa; Chordata; Mammalia; Primates; Hominidae. The record is from RNAcentral.